UGCGUAAGAUCCGGCCCAGGGGAAAGAGAUGAAUGUUAAAUUCAAAGAUGGCGGCGGAGGGAGGAGGGAAGGAGAUGAACGAAAUUAAAACUCAGUUCACAACUCGGGAAGGUGUCUACAAGCUCCUCACUCACUCCGAAUACAGCCGUCCCAACAGGGUGCCUUUCAACUCACAGGGCUCCAACCCAGUCAAGGUCUCUUUCGUUAACGUCAACGAUCAGUCGGGAAACGGCGACAGGAUCUGUUUCAAUGUGGGCCGUGAGCUCUACUUCUACAUCUACAAAGGCGUUAGAAAGGCUGCUGACCUGAGCAAGCCCAUAGACAAGCGCAUCUACAAGGGAACGCAGCCUACCUGUCAUGACUUCAACCACCUCACAGCCACAGCAGAGAGUGUGUCCUUGCUGGUGGGUUUCUCAGCAGGACAGGUACAGCUUAUUGACCCCAUCAAGAAGGAGACAAGCAAGCUCUUCAAUGAAGAGAGACUAAUAGACAAGACCAGAGUAACAUGCGUGAAGUGGGUGCCAGGCUCUGAGAGCCUGUUUCUGGUCUCUCAUUCCAGUGGGAAUAUGUAUCUAUACAAUGUGGAGCAUACUUGUGGCACCACGGCACCACACUAUCAGGUGCUUAAACAGGGAGAGAACUACUCUGUACACACAUGUAAGAGUAAAUCCACGCGGAACCCUCUCCUUAAAUGGGCAGUGGGGGAGGGGGCUCUGAAUGAGUUUGCCUUCUCUCCGGAUGGGAAGUUCCUAGGCUGUGUUAGCCAAGACGGCUUCCUACGAGUCUUCAACUUUGAUGCGGUGGAGCUUCAUGGCACCAUGAAGAGCUACUUUGGUGGCUUGUUGUGUGUGUGCUGGAGCCCUGAUGGAAAGUACAUAGUUGCAGGCGGAGAGGACGAUUUAGUGACUGUGUGGUCGUUUUUGGACUGCAGAGUCAUCGCCCGAGGUCAUGGGCACAAGUCGUGGGUCAGUGUGGUGGCGUUUGACCAUUACACCACCAGCGUGGAAGAGAGUGACCCGAUGGAGUUCAGUGGCAGCGAUGAGGACUUCCAGGAUCAGAUGAUCCACUUCGGACGAGACCGGGCCAACAGUACGCAGUCUCGACUCUCCAAGCGCAACUCGACGGACAGCCGGCCUGUUAGCGUCACGUACCGGUUUGGCUCAGUGGGCCAGGACACUCAGCUGUGCCUAUGGGACCUCACUGAGGACAUCCUUUUCCCCCAUCUUCCACUCUCACGGACACGGACACACACUAACGUGAUGAAUGCUACCAGCCCCCCUGCGGGUGCUCCAAUAAUCGCUAACGCCUCUAGUAACACUACUAAUGGAAACAACAGUGGUGCCAAUACUCCUGGCAUUAACUCCCUCUCCACUACAUUACCACGCUCCAACAGCCUACCCCAUUCAGCCGGCACCACCACCACAACAACAACAACAACGACGACGACAAACAACACCAACAAAGCCAGCAGUGGUGGCGGCGGCAUCGGGAGUGGUAUAAUGGACAGUGCCAUUGCUACAGGUGUGAGUAAGUUUGCCACGCUGUCACUCCAUGAUCGGAAGGAACGCCACCACGAGAAGGACCACAAACGCAACCACAGCAUGGGCCACAUCAGCAGCAAGAGCAGCGACAAGCUCAACCUGCUCACAAAAACCAAAACAGACCCUGCUAAGACUCUGGGCACUCUGCUGUGCCCGCGCAUGGAGGAUGUGCCCCUCCUCGAGCCCCUCAUCUGUAAAAAGAUAGCACACGAGAGACUGACUGUACUCAUAUUUUUAGAGGACUGUUUAGUGACUGCUUGUCAGGAAGGAUUUAUUUGCACAUGGGCGAGGCCAGGCAAAGUGGGUUUAUUGUCAUCCCAAAACCAAGCCAGCUCUCCCAGUGGAACAGUAGUAUAGCCACAAUAUUUCUGCUGCUAAAGAACCCUGCAACCCAGUCUGAUGCUGCUCUUCACCCUGCAAGCAUUAUUUCAACAUCAGGCCUGUCCAAACAUUGUCCUCUCAACGAUGUGUUUGACAGUACUGAUCCGUCCUGUUUAAAGAGGCAAAUUUGAAUAAAACGUUGGAAGUGUUUUGGCUCUCAGCAGCCUCCAUGUUUCCUAUCCAGAGGUGGAAUGCAGUAGGUCUUGAAAGCAGCAUGAUGCGACUCAUCCCUGGGCUGUGGAGAAAGGAAAUGUAGCGUGAAUGCCAAAUAAAACUGAAAGAACUACCAAGAUGGGAUGGUUGGCAGUGUGCCUCUGUGGGUGACGGUAAACGCAGGCAGAGUGGAGACAGGGAAAGGCAUCUGUGGUCCUGGUACUACCAUGUUGAGCUUGGGCAGCUCUGCAGGGUAAUGAGGGAUGUUCCGUCGGAUGAGAGGCUCUGCUACAUGCUUCAUGUUGUGCUGGAGAGGGUGGAAGUAUCGCAUGAAAACAAAGCAGUUGUAUUCAUAUUUCUGACAACUUACUUUAGUUGAAAUCAAUCGACAAAUGCAUAAUUUUUCAUUAACUGGUCAAUUUUGGCUUUCCUCUUGGCUAUUUUGCUUACAUAACAUGGUCUUUAUUUUUAGAAAAGUAGAGAAGGAAACAUCCAAAUCCACAUUUUACUGUAUAUAUAUAUAUAUUUUUUUUAAUUACAGGUUUGCCAUUUGCUUUCAGAAUCAAUUGAAGAGUCUCUCCCUAAACUCUGACUUACGCUUAUUAAAGGGGUUUGCCUUGUGUGUCUUCCCCUCAGCUGUUUGCCAAGUCUGGUUGGACGCCAGAUGUGAUCUAAGGAGUUGUACGUCCCACCACUGUCUAGUUCAUCCAUAGUCCCAGAAACUCUGUGAAGCGUCUCGGCUUUCUUCUCUGCCAGCCUGGGGAAAACAUUGAGCAAGGGAGACUUCUAUUACAUUUAAAAGUAUUUUGUCUCCGAUUUGAAAUGUUCUCAUCUUAAGGUGAUGAAAUAAUUCUAAUUUGCAUGGUUUACCUGAUUUCCCUAAAGUAUGUGUGCCGCAGGGCUGUUUCUGCAGUGAUGCGUUCAUCAGAGUCAUAGGCGAGCAUCUGAUAGAGAAGUGACAGAGCUGGAGCCGGGCGGUGAGGGAGUAACCGUGAGAUACCGCUGCCUUUUUUAGGAGGGAAGUUGAAUUGCAUAGUUCGAGACCUGCCAGAAAUUAAGAAAGCAUGAUAAGCCUUUGUUUAUUAAGCAAAUCAAGGUGUGUAUCUGCACCUACUGUAACAAUGACACACACCCUUCAAAUGACAUAUUUAAAGAGGAACACCUACUGCUUUAACUUCUGGAGGAUACUUUCUUCCGGUGUCCCCAACACGUCAUGGAUCUUGGCAACCUGGUCCAACUCAUUGGUUCCAGGGAAGAGAGGAUUCAAGCUGAAACACGCAAGUACCUGACUGUCACAACCAAACUAUUUACAUAGCAUUUGUUUGAUAUUUGUUUAUGCUAGUGGCUGCAGACAAGCUCAAUCUAUUAGAAUGUGAAAAACUAAAGGCAGACAUUGAUAACAUUGUCAUGUAUAAUCUUAUGAGUGUUCCUAUUCUGUCUUUUUGACUCACAAACUGUUGUCCUAUUUAGGUAUUAGAAAAAUGCCCUUCCCCUGCAGUGAUACCUCAUGAUCUCAUAGAAGACACAACCAGCGCUCCACAUGUCCAUCUUCAAGCCGUAGUAGCCGUCAGUGAGGAGGCACUCUGGGGCUCUGUACCAGCGUGUGGAGAUGUACUCGGUGUGGGGGGGCUUGGAGUAAACACUGCGACACGAGCCAAAGUCGCCAAGCUUCAGACCAUUUUGCUGCAAUUGUACAAAGAUUUUUUUAUGAUAAAAACAUAGAAUACCUCUGCUAUGUUUAAGUAAAGCAAAUUGUUAUAAAACUGUAUCUUACUUUGA
Molecule: RNA transcript, 3854 nt
Organism: Gymnodraco acuticeps
Lineage: Eukaryota; Metazoa; Chordata; Actinopteri; Perciformes; Bathydraconidae
Gene: wdr20a
Gene name: WD repeat domain 20a
Exons: 6
Source: RefSeq, a predicted model, not a curated record